GGAAUCUAACAUCUGAUAUCCGAAAUCCGACUUCUGACAUCUGAUAUGGAGGAAAGUCCGGACUCCUCCCGCUCCUCGCGAGGAGCGGGGAUAAAGGCAGUCGCUAACAGCGACCAAGAGUAAUUUUAGGGAAAGUGCCGCAGAGACUAUACUAAUCAAUGCUUCGCAUUGGUUAAAGGUGAAAAGUUAAUUGAUGUCUUUUACCCUCGAGAUAAAAGGCUACAAUUUUUCUCAACUGGCGACAGUUGAAGAUGGUAAACCCUGCCUGGAGCAAGAGCAAACCUCCCCGAUGUAUAUCGGGGAGAUGAAAAGUGGCUCGCAUGAUCCCGCGAGCAAUCGCGGGGCUAGAUAGAUGAUCAUCUUCCCGAUGCAAAUCGGGGAACAGAAUCCGGCUUAUAGCUUGCCUUGAUAU
Molecule: RNase P RNA, 412 nt
Filed under: Patescibacteria group bacterium
Lineage: Bacteria
Also listed under: 1 other name
Description: RNase P RNA component class A
Rfam family: Bacterial RNase P class A
About the family: Ribonuclease P (RNase P) is a ubiquitous endoribonuclease, found in archaea, bacteria and eukarya as well as chloroplasts and mitochondria.
Source: RNAcentral